AUGGGAAAGGGAAGUAGCUUCCUACAUGAGGUCAUAUUCUCUACAGAGGUUCCUCAGAGAAAUAUGGGAGGUCCCACUCUCCGACCCCAGCAGAGCCCCAGUAAGCCCUGUCCCACCCCAGAGGAUGUCCAGACCAGGCCCGCCAGCGGCCACCAUGGCUCCAGGAGAGGGCCAGGGCUGACUGGGUCGAAGAGGAGCCACCGGAAGGUGGUCCGGGAUCAGAUCCGGAGAGUGUUGGAGAACCUGGAGGAGGUUCUAGGAGGCCUGAAGGACAUCCAUCAGGAGAUGAAGGAGGUAAAGAUGUUUCUGUUUGCCUAUAAGUUACAGAUAGGGUCUAUCUUUGAUGGGGGGAUUUAAAGCUGUUUCUCAUGCAG
Molecule: long non-coding RNA, 374 nt
Filed under: Oncorhynchus kisutch (coho salmon)
Lineage: Eukaryota; Metazoa; Chordata; Actinopteri; Salmoniformes; Salmonidae
Description: lncRNA (ENSOKIG00005000833.1)
Source: RNAcentral